Molecule: non-coding RNA, 86 nt
Organism: Dentipellis sp. KUC8613
Lineage: Eukaryota; Fungi; Basidiomycota; Agaricomycetes; Russulales; Hericiaceae
Source: the annotation of a GenBank genome assembly
UCGGAUAUGGUGUAAUGGCUAACAUUACCGCCUCUCAGAUACCUGUUAGUACGCGGUAGCUCGGGGUUCGAUUCCCCGUAUCCGAA